This 691-nucleotide unclassified non-coding RNA is filed under the name Hevea brasiliensis (rubber tree). The record is from RNAcentral. Lineage: Eukaryota; Viridiplantae; Streptophyta; Magnoliopsida; Malpighiales; Euphorbiaceae.
AUCAAUUGCAAGAUUAAACAAACGUCAAGUAAAAAUUCAAUUGGACAUUUGAGCAUGAUCAAAUGCAAGAUGAAGCAAACUUGUGUCAAAAGAAUUCUAUUUUUUUUCCCUUUUUCCCUUCAAAUUGCGGGGAAUUCAGCUUCUUUUUUCCCGCAUAUGGCCACUUGAAAAGGAAGUUCUUGAGCGGGAGGUAUUGAUACAAUGCCGAAUGGAAAGGCCAACUCAGCUAGCUGUUGGAUAUGUUGUAACCAUUGUGAAAGGCGGGCAAAUCUGUUAGGCCAAGUCGCGUGUCAUUAGCUAGAAUAAAAGCUGUACUUCUUGUAUUGUGACUCAUUCUGGAUUCUGAUAUCAAUUGAAUGAAAUUCUCUCCCUGUUUUCUUCUGUGGUUCUCUUCCCUUUCUGUCUAAUUCUAUCUUCUUUCUCUUGAUUUCUCCCUUUUUCAUUCUGAACUCUAUCACAAACCCCUAGAAAUCUAAACUUCCAUGACCAUUUGUAUUUAGACCAAAACUAAGAAAAUAGGAAUCUCCACUCAAUCAAAAGCUACACCAGAAAACUCAAAACCAACAAUAAACAAUCAACUCAAAAUUCCCAUUUGCAGGAAAGCAAAAUUCUCAUAUAACCAAGAAAGAAGUGCAAAUAUAAAAACAAGAGGAGAAAUCUUUUAGUACCUCUCUGCUGCUGCUACCGCCUG